This 31-nucleotide ribosomal RNA is filed under the name Meloidogyne incognita (southern root-knot nematode). RNAcentral's name for it is "partial 28S ribosomal RNA". The record is from RNAcentral. Lineage: Eukaryota; Metazoa; Nematoda; Chromadorea; Rhabditida; Meloidogynidae.
GACCUGAACUCAGUCGAGAGCACCCGCUGAA